GGAGAUGGAUGGAGCCUGGUGGCUCCCGCGGCCUUCAAAGCCGUUGUGAGGCGCGCAGAACGUCUCGGGUGCGUUCGAUUCGCAUGCAUCUCCGCCA
This 97-nucleotide transfer RNA is filed under the name Candidatus Aphodovivens excrementavium. Its description in RNAcentral is "tRNA-Sec". It matches the Rfam family "Selenocysteine transfer RNA". Lineage: Bacteria; Bacillati; Actinomycetota; Coriobacteriia. The record is from RNAcentral.